CAGGGAGACAACAACUGAUUUUGAUGUCUGAGUCAUUUAUUCUCAGGCCGAAAUCCUGUCAUCUCGAAGGUCGAUCGGUACCUCAACUUGAGGGUCUAGAGAAUUUAUUCUGCUAGGUCAAUUCAAUUUCAGUUCCUAAACUUUGUCUAGGUCACCCACUAAGGUACAUAACUCCUGGGCCAUUAGCUCAGGUGGUUAGAGCGCACCCCUGAUAAGGGUGAGGUCCCUGGUUCAAGUCCAGGAUGGCCCAUUCGUGUUUGGGGGUUUAGCUCAGUUGGUAGAGCGCCUGCUUUGCAAGCAGGAUGUCAGCGGUUCGAGUCCGCUAACCUCCAUCCAACAGGAGGCCCCUUGGUUCGAAUUCUGAAAGGAGUUCCUGGUGAGGUGACAGAGAUUAAAAUCGGAACUGGCAUCAAACGAUGACCAGGAAAGCAACGCUGAGUCACAAGACUCCAGCCUCGUUUCAUUCCAGAGUUGAUGAUCUAACAAGAGAUCAACCGGUUGAAACGAUGCUGGACUCAAGGCUUUUAACCAAAGCCUUAAGUUUCAGCAGAACCUUGACAACUGCAUAGGUAAGUCUGGAAAUAAAGCAUCUCAUGGAUGCCCAGACGCGAAAGAGAUCAAGUGAGGGUGAAUAGCCUGAGCUUGAAAUUUUUGUGUGUUUGGGAAAAUUCUAUUGAGUUUUUAGAGCCGAGAAAUCCAAUGGUUCUUUUCAGCCAUCCAAGUUAACUGCGUGGAGGGCUAGAAGAGUUUGAUCCUGGCAUUCAAGUCUGAUUGAGCUGACCUGAAAAGGUGAGUUUGAGAUGAUACUGAAUCUAGAGAGAAUGGGCCUCAACAGCCUGAAGCCAUUGGAGGAUAAUUU
This 859-nucleotide transfer RNA is filed under the name uncultured cyanobacterium. RNAcentral describes it as "16S-23S ribosomal RNA intergenic spacer". The stretch from base 260 to 332 matches the Rfam family "tRNA". The record is from RNAcentral. Lineage: Bacteria; Bacillati; Cyanobacteriota.